GUGCUCGCUUCGGCAGCACAUAUACUAAAACUGGAACAAUACAGAGAAGAUUAGCACGGCCCCUGCACAAGGAUGACACGCAAAUUCGUGAAGCGUUCCAUAUUUUU
Otolemur garnettii (small-eared galago) is the source of this 107-nucleotide small nuclear RNA. Lineage: Eukaryota; Metazoa; Chordata; Mammalia; Primates; Galagidae. The record is from Ensembl.